UACGUAGGUGGCAAGCGUUAUCCGGAAUUACUGGGCGUAAAGCGCACGCAGGCGGUCUUUUAAGUUUGACGUGAAAGCUCCCGGCUUAACUGGGAGAGGUCGUUGAAUACUGGAAGACUUGAGGCAAUGAGAGGGGUGUAGAAUUCCCGGUGUAGUGGUGGAAUGCGUAGAUAUCGGGGGGAAUACCAGUGGCGAAGGCGGGAUCCUGGGCCAGUACUGACGCUGAGGAGCGAAAGCGUGGGGAGCAAACAGG
Molecule: ribosomal RNA, 253 nt
Filed under: uncultured bacterium
Lineage: Bacteria
Description: partial 16S ribosomal RNA
Rfam family: Bacterial small subunit ribosomal RNA
Source: RNAcentral